AUUGAACGCUGGCGGAAUGCUUUACACAUGCAAGUCGAACGGCAGCACGGGGGCAACCCUGGUGGCGAGUGGCGAACGGGUGAGUAAUACAUCGGAACGUGCCCAGUCGUGGGGGAUAACGUAGCGAAAGUUACGCUAAUACCGCAUACGAUCUAUGGAUGAAAGCGGGGGACCGUAAGGCCUCGCGCGAUUGGAGCGGCCGAUGUCGGAUUAGGUAGUUGGUGGGGUAAAGGCUCACCAAGCCGACGAUCUGUAGCUGGUCUGAGAGGACGACCAGCCACACUGGGACUGGGACACGGCCCAGACUCCUACGGGAGGCAGCAGUGGGGAAUUUUGGACAAUGGGCGCAAGCCUGAUCCAGCCAUUCCGCGUGCAGGAUGAAGGCCCUCGGGUUGUAAACUGCUUUUGUACGGAACGAAACGGUCUGCUCUAAUACAGCGGGCUAAUGACGGUACCGUAAGAAUAAGCACCGGCUAACUACGUGCCAGCCGCCGCCGUAA
Molecule: ribosomal RNA, 500 nt
Filed under: uncultured bacterium
Lineage: Bacteria
Description: partial 16S ribosomal RNA
Rfam family: Bacterial small subunit ribosomal RNA
Source: RNAcentral